This 717-nucleotide ribosomal RNA is filed under the name uncultured bacterium. Its description in RNAcentral is "bacterial SSU rRNA". It matches the Rfam family "Bacterial small subunit ribosomal RNA", at positions 779 to 1498 of the family's 1533-position model. The record is from RNAcentral.
UAGAUACCCUGGUAGUCCACGCCAUAAACGAUGCACACUAGUUGUUGCUAUGCUAGACAUAGCAGUAAUGCAGUUAACACAGUAAGUGUGCCGCCUGGGGAGUACGGUCGCAAGAUUAAAACUCAAAGGAAUAGACGGGGACCCGCACAAGCGGUGGAGCAUGUGGUUUAAUUCGACGAUACGCGAAGAACCUUACCUGGCCUUGACAUAGACAGAAGUUUGCAGAGACGCAGAUGUGCUAGUUUACUAGAACUGUCAUACAGGUGCUGCACGGCUGUCGUCAGCUCGUGUCGUGAGAUGUUGGGUUAAGUCCCGCAACGAGCGCAACCCUCGUGUUUAGUUACUAACAGUUCGGCUGAGGACUCUAAACAGACUGCCUGGGUAACCAGGAGGAAGGUGAGGACGACGUCAAGUCAUCAUGGCCCUUACGGCCAGGGCCACACACGUGCUACAAUGGGGUAUACAAAGAGCUGCAAUACGGUGACGUGGAGCAAAUCUCAUAAAAUAUCUCCCAGUUCGGAUUGAAGUCUGCAACUCGACUUCAUGAAGUUGGAAUCGCUAGUAAUCGUGAAUCAGCAAUGUCACGGUGAAUACGUUCCCGGGUCUUGUACUCACCGCCCGUCACACCAUGGGAGUUGAAUUCAUUCGAAGCGGGGAUGCUAAAGUAGCUACCUUCCACAGUGGAUUUAGUAACUAGGGUGAAGUCGUAACAAGGUA